Long non-coding RNA from Gossypium raimondii (Peruvian cotton), 386 nucleotides. RefSeq lists it as uncharacterized. Lineage: Eukaryota; Viridiplantae; Streptophyta; Magnoliopsida; Malvales; Malvaceae. The transcript has 3 exons. The record is from RefSeq and is a predicted model, not a curated record.
GGGUGUUUUAAGGCAUAAAAGACAAAAUUGAAACCCAAAAAUCUGCUCAUUCUUUCUCCAUGCUGCCGAAACUUUCAGCAAGCCAUGGCUAGGGUUUCAAGCUUUUUCAAAGUUCAAUUAUCAAAGAAAUCAAGAUUUGGACCAAAUACGGGGAAAUGUCAAUCAAAAUAAUCGACUCGCGUUGAGUAUCGCCAAGUUAGCUCGGGAAUCGGUGGACGUCGGAGAUUUGCUCACACUAUCAAUUAGAACACUUGGUAUAUCUAGAUACAUAAAUUUUUGGGUUACGGCAUGUAUAGUAGGUUUGGUCGUUUUGUCAUAUAUGUCAGAUUUCUUAUGGCCUAAAAUGUUGACCUUUAUUUAAUAAAUGUUCUUUUUGAUUAAGGCUA